UUGCCUGGCCUUCCUUGGCUCCUAGCAAAUCAGCAGGUGUCUCCUGCAUAUCUAAGAGCCUUCCUGCACAUGGGCUCAGGAGAGAGUCCCAGGAUGGUGUAUGCUUAUUUGCCUCACUCACUUCCAGCAUGGCCAUGUAAGCAGUGCACAAAAGUGGGGGUGUGCCCAGGCCUCAAAGGUUUGGGCUUGUCCUCUGGUGCUCCUGCCUUCACCAUGAGAUAUGUAUACCUUGUAUGAGUCACAGUUCCACGAUGGAGAGCUACAUGGAGCAGACCUAACCCAAGCCUAGCUGAGUUCAGCCAACCUACGGACCCAAGAGUGAAAAGAAAGAAAUGUCUCUUGUAAGCCACUGAGAUUUGGGGAUUAUUUGUUACACAGCAGUAUCACAGCCAAGCCUAACUAAUGAGUGUUCAUGGUUUUUUUUAUUGCAUGAAACUGCUCCAGUACUCAAGUCUGAGAUGCUCACUCUGAGGCAUAUCAUCAAGGAAUUGAGCUUUAGUGAGCAGUUUUUCCCCCCUCCAGACUCCUUUCCAUGACCUUUUCCUGGAGUGUGCAUCUCCUACAUCUAUAGGACAAUUAACCACAUGGAAGAAUUUUGCCUCCUCCCCAACAAGCCAUUCCACAGGUGCUCAGACCUGCCUGUCCCUGACAAGGGCUGUUCUUGUUGUGGUCAGACCUCAGCUUCUUGGGGACAGUGAUGAGGCUGGAGCUCACAGAGAUGGAGGAGCCUCUGAAGCUGCAGCAGCCGGAGCAGAACGCACAGCUGCAGAGCCCUCUGGAAAGAACAGAGAAGAGAAGUGGACGUCGCAGACCUGAACGAGGAUGUUCUCUGUGAUGUCAGGUAAUGGGGACCCAGUGAUGAAUAGAGAUUCUUCAAGCUGCUCAGAGCCUAGCAGGGGACCUCGAACCCUAAAGAAGCACAGGCGGAAGGAGGUAGGUGGGCAACGCCCUGGCUUGCCCUUCCUUUGCAUCAUCCAUCAAACA
This is a non-coding RNA of Delphinapterus leucas (beluga whale), 984 nucleotides long. Lineage: Eukaryota; Metazoa; Chordata; Mammalia; Artiodactyla; Monodontidae. The record is from RefSeq and is a predicted model, not a curated record.